AGUAAAGUCAGCUAAUCAAGCUAUCGGGCCCAUACCCCGAAAAUGAUGGUCCAACCCCCUCCUUUACUA
This 69-nucleotide transfer RNA is filed under the name Tinamus major (great tinamou). Its description in RNAcentral is "tRNA-Met". It matches the Rfam family "tRNA". Rfam says of the family: Transfer RNA (tRNA) molecules are approximately 80 nucleotides in length. Lineage: Eukaryota; Metazoa; Chordata; Aves; Tinamiformes; Tinamidae. The record is from RNAcentral.